UUCCAUGAACAAGUGUCUGAAUUGCAUGUAAUUUUGUUUUAAGGAGUAUCCGUUCCUUAGAUAAAAUAUAAAUUUAAAAUGCAAAAAAAUAAUGUUGGGUUUUCUUAGCAUGUUCUUUAUGUUCAUCUAUUUCCUAAUUUUUCUAUUUUUCCUUCUUAUUUGUCACAAGACCCUGCAUUUGUUUUCUUUUUAUAAUUUUAAUGUGACUUAAUACAACAAAAUUACUCAACCCAUCUUUCUCUCCUCCCUGCCCCUACUUUUAUCUGCUGGUGAGCAAUUCAGCAGUUGGAUCUGUUGUAUUUCAUCACAGCAGCGAGACAAAUUACCUCAUCUGAAAGCCUGCUGUUGUCAGACUUCUUGUCAUGAUGGUCAUUGUGCCAUCAAGCAUUCUUCUUCAAAGCCAUUAAAAGACAAUUACAUUGUAUAGCAGGUAUGACAUGAGAAAAGGUGAGAUUAGAUGAAUCAGGACUUGAAACUUGAUUUUUGAUAAUAGUUGUCUUUAAAGCUUAUGUAUAAACAUGAUUGUUAUGCUUUAAUUGUUGUUGCUUUGGUUGGAAUUUUCACCUGAAAUUAGUGGAGGUUAAUCAUGAAACUGCUUCCCCCCAUUAACAAACUUCAUAUCAUAAAAUAACUUGCGAUGCUGCCAAUAGUGGCAAGUGAUCUGUGAACAUAGAAUAAGCUAUCUUGUUUUGUAAUUUUUGGAAAUUGAAGAAAAAGUGGACUUGUUUCUUUACAAUAAUGUUCUUAGUGUCAUCUCUGUAUUAUAUUUGGUCUUUAGUUGCAAAAUAAUCUAGAGGAUCAUCUUCACUGCAAGUAUGUCAUGUACAUUAGCGAGAAUAUAGGUGUAAUCUAUGUUUUGCUGUAAACGGGAGCAUCUGAAUUCAUAAUAACCGUAGACUUUCUUGCUUGCUAGAAUGGUUAAAAUAUGACUUGUUUAUUCUCAUUUUGAGCAAAAUAAAGGUUCCGUGUCAAGAAUAUAAUUGUCAUCUUUUGCAUAUUCAAAGGUUCUGUUGGUCAAUUCUGCCUUCGAAGCCAGCGCAGAGGACCUCGAAGCCAGCUCCUCCUCGCCCUCCCCUUCCUGCCUUCGCUUUCGGCGGCGACGACGACGAGGAUGACAUCGAGAGGGAAAUCUCACGGCAGGCGUCCAAUAACAAGUCUCUCCGGAAGAUCGAGGAGCAGCACAAAAAGGCAAUGGAAGAGGAUCCCUCGUUCUUCGACUACGACGGGGUUUACGACGAGAUGAAGGGGAAGAUUGCGCGCCCCAAGGUUCAGGAUCGAACGGAGAGAAAGUCAAAGUAUAUAUAAACACUUAUGGAGAAAGCAAAACAACGUGAGCGGGAACAUGAAAUUGUAUAUGAGAGGAAGCUGCUGAAAGAGAGGAGCAAGGAUGAUAACCUUUUUGCAGAUAAGGAAAAGUUUGUAACCAGUGCCUAUAAGAAAAAGCUAGCAGAACAUGAAAAAUGGUUGGACGAAGAGA
Musa acuminata AAA Group (dessert banana) is the source of this 1477-nucleotide long non-coding RNA. RefSeq lists it as uncharacterized. The record is from RefSeq and is a predicted model, not a curated record. The transcript is spliced from 3 exons. Lineage: Eukaryota; Viridiplantae; Streptophyta; Magnoliopsida; Zingiberales; Musaceae.